UUGCCAGCCCGCUCAGAAACUUAAAGGAAUUGACGGGGGCCCGCACAAGCGGUGGAGCAUGUGGUUAAUUCGAUGAUACGCGAGGAACCUUACCUGGGCUCAAAUGUAUGUUGACGUAUUCUGAAAGGGAUACUUCUUCGGACAAUAUACAAGGUGCUGCAUGGUUGUCGUCAGCUCGUGCCGUGAGGUGUCGGGUUAAGUCCCAUAACGAGCGCAACCCCUAUCAUUAGUUGCCAUCAGGUCAAGCUGGGGACUCUAAUGAAACUGCCUACGCAAGUAGUGAGGAAGGUGGGGAUGACGUCAAAUCAGCACGGCCCUUACGUCCAGGGCUACACACGUGCUACAAUGGCCGGUACAAAGGGCAGCUACCUGGUGACAGGAUGCUAAUCUCAAAAGCCGGUCUCAGUUCGGAUCGGAGUCUGCAACCCGACUCCGUGAAGUUGGAUUCGCUAGUAAUCGCGCAUCAGCCAUGGCGCGGUGAAUACGUUCCCGGGCCUU
RNAcentral lists this ribosomal RNA (498 nucleotides) under uncultured Sphingobacteriales bacterium. RNAcentral's name for it is "bacterial SSU rRNA". It matches the Rfam family "Bacterial small subunit ribosomal RNA", at positions 903 to 1382 of the family's 1533-position model. The record is from RNAcentral. Lineage: Bacteria; Pseudomonadati; Bacteroidota; Sphingobacteriia; Sphingobacteriales.